RNAcentral lists this ribosomal RNA (438 nucleotides) under uncultured bacterium. Its description in RNAcentral is "partial 16S ribosomal RNA". It matches the Rfam family "Bacterial small subunit ribosomal RNA", at positions 355 to 784 of the family's 1533-position model. The record is from RNAcentral.
UGGGGAAUAUUGCACAAUGGGCGCAAGCCUGAUGCAGCCAUGCCGCGUGUGUGAAGAAGCCUUCGGGUUGUAAAGCACUUUCAGCGAGGGAGGAAGGUGGUGGACUUAAUACGUUCAUCAAUUGAGUUACUCGCAGAAGAAGCACCGGCUAACUCCGUGCCAGCAGCCGCGGUAAUACGGAGGGUGCAAGCNUUAAUCGGAAUUACUGGGCGUAAAGCGCACGCAGGCGGUUUGUUAAGUCAGAUGUGAAAUCCCCCGGGCUCAACCUGGGAACUGCAUUUGAAACUGGCAAGCUAGAGUCUCGUAGAGGGGGGUAGAAUUCCAGGUGUAGCGGUGAAAUGCGUAGAGAUCUGGAGGAAUACCGGUGGCGAAGGCGGCCCCCCUGGACGAAGACUGACGCUCAGGUGCGAAAGCGUGGGGAGCAAACAGGAUUAGAUA